GGGGUUAUCACGCCUGCCUGUCACGCAGGAGAUCGCCGGUUCAAAUCCGGCUAGGACCG
RNAcentral lists this transfer RNA (59 nucleotides) under Ligilactobacillus salivarius. RNAcentral's name for it is "Lactobacillus salivarius tRNA-Asp". It matches the Rfam family "tRNA", at positions 15 to 71 of the family's 71-position model. Rfam says of the family: Transfer RNA (tRNA) molecules are approximately 80 nucleotides in length. Their secondary structure includes four short double-helical elements and three loops (D, anti-codon, and T loops). The record is from RNAcentral. Lineage: Bacteria; Bacillati; Bacillota; Bacilli; Lactobacillales; Lactobacillaceae.